This 253-nucleotide ribosomal RNA is filed under the name uncultured bacterium. RNAcentral describes it as "partial 16S ribosomal RNA". It matches the Rfam family "Bacterial small subunit ribosomal RNA", at positions 524 to 776 of the family's 1533-position model. The record is from RNAcentral.
UACGUAGGGCGCAAGCGUUAUCCGGAAUUAUUGGGCGUAAAGCGCUCGCAGGUGGUUCGUCGCGUCGUGCGUGAAAGACCCCGGCUCAACUGGGGGAGGUCGUGCGAUACGGGCGGACUGGAGGCCAGUAGGGGGAUGCGGAAUUCCGGGUGUAGUGGUGGAAUGCGUAGAGAUCCGGAGGAACACCAGCGGCGAAGGCGGCAUCCUGGACUGGUCCUGACACUCAUGAGCGAAAGCGUGGGGAGCGAUCCGG